UUGACAUCACUGCCGACAACACAAAAAAGAGGAAAAAGAAGCCUUCGUUUUUCGCGUUUCAAAGUUCCGUACCGGUAAAUACCAGCACCAAAGUUUUCUCCGAUUGUGGUUUGCCGGACGGCAAUCGGCAGCCGCAAAUCGGAUGUUGAGGACAUAUAUACAGGGACUUUUUCUAGCGAUGAUCGCAACAGCAACAUUUUCGCUGAAGGAGCCAUGCAUCACGUUGAAAGAAGGAGGAGUGAGGAUUCUGGAUCCAGCAGCUGCGACAAUGUUCCGCCCGUGUGUCGUGUGUGAAACCUGGUUUAGGAGCUGAUGAAAACAAAGUCGGAAGGGUAUGGAGUGGUCCUAAACAAGUACUUGUCGUUCCAGGCGGAUCCCCCGGAAUGGUUAGGUUUUUUCCAGGGUCCUGGUCCGUCGGCCUAGCUGUUUACCAGGCAUUCCGUAGCGGCUGUACACCGUUGUGUAAGUACCUAAUAAAAUCUCAAUGAAGAUGA
This is a long non-coding RNA of Uranotaenia lowii, 494 nucleotides long. RefSeq lists it as uncharacterized. NCBI's taxonomy places the organism in Eukaryota, Metazoa, Arthropoda, Insecta, Diptera, Culicidae. The transcript is spliced from 2 exons. The record is from RefSeq and is a predicted model, not a curated record.